AUUGAACGCUGGCGGCGUGCUUUACACAUGCAAGUCGAGCGGCAGCAUGACCUUCGGGUCGAUGGCGAGCGGCGAACGGGUGAGUAAUACAUCGGAACGUACCUUUUAGUGGGGGAUAACGCAUCGAAAGAUGUGCUAAUACCGCAUAAUCUCUGAGGAGGAAAGGCGGGGAUCACGCAAGUGACCUGUCGCUGAAAGAGCGGCCGAUGGUCGAUUAGCUAGUUGGCGGGGUAAAAGCCCACCAAGGCGAUGAUCGAUAGCGGGUCUGAGAGGACGAUCCGUCACACUGGGACUGAGACACGGCCCAGACUCCUACGGGAGGCAGCAGUAAGGAAUAUUGGUCAAUGGGCGCAAGCCUGAACCAGCCAUGCCGCGUGCAGGAAGACGGCCCUACGGGUUGUAAACUGCUUUUGUACGGAACGAAAAGGUCUGGGUUAAUACCCUGGGCUCAUGACGGUACCGUAAGAAUAAGCACCGGCUAACUACGUGCCAGCAG
This 496-nucleotide ribosomal RNA is filed under the name uncultured bacterium. Its description in RNAcentral is "bacterial SSU rRNA". It matches the Rfam family "Bacterial small subunit ribosomal RNA", at positions 30 to 514 of the family's 1533-position model. The record is from RNAcentral.